CGUGUCCUGAUCACAACAAACUGCCAGAAGGCUACAGAUAUUGCUUGAAUGGUGACGGCGAACGGACGGGUUGCCUUUCUUCAGUCAGAUGCGGCGGUAGCUGCACGAUCUGUUACGGAUACAAGGUUGGAUGCACAGGUGUGUGCGUGUAUAACUCAAGCGCGCCACUCGUACGAUGAACACCGAAGGAGACAAAGCCACCUUUUGGUGGAGACGGCGGCCGAGAGGGUCAAGAAGCCAAAGUGCACCUAAUAUUUCAACAACCAAAGAAGAACUGGAGAUUCCUUACGUCAUUUAUUGUUUUUAUUUUUUAGAGAAUACAAUCACUUUGUCAAAUAAAAUUCUUUCCUGCUUUUU
Molecule: long non-coding RNA, 357 nt
Filed under: Dermacentor andersoni
Lineage: Eukaryota; Metazoa; Arthropoda; Arachnida; Ixodida; Ixodidae
Description: uncharacterized LOC126523517
Source: RNAcentral